UGGUGGGUAGUUUGACUGGGGCGGUCUCCUCCUAAAGAGUAACGGAGGAGCACGAAGGUUGGCUAAUCCUGGUCGGACAUCAGGAGGUUAGUGCAAUGGCAUAAGCCAGCUUGACUGCGAGCGUGACGGCGCGAGCAGGUGCGAAAGCAGGUCAUAGUGAUCCGGUGGUUCUGAAUGGAAGGGCCAUCGCUCAACGGAUAAAAGGUACUCCGGGGAUAACAGGCUGAUACCGCCCAAGAGUUCAUAUCGACGGCGGUGUUUGGCACCUCGAUGUCGGCUCAUCACAUCCUGGGGCUGAAGUAGGUCCCAAGGGUAUGGCUGUUCGCCAUUUAAAGUGGUACGCGAGCUGGGUUUAGAACGUCGUGAGACAGUUCGGUCCCUAUCUGCCGUGGGCGCUGGAGAACUGAGGGGGGCUGCUCCUAGUACGAGAGGACCGGAGUGGACGCAUCACUGGUGUUCGGGUUGUCAUGCCAAUGGCACUGCCCGGUAGCUAAAUGCGGAAGAGAUAAGUGCUGAAAGCAUCUAAGCACGAAACUUGCCCCGAGAUGAGUUCUCCCUGACUCCUUGAGAGUCCUGAAGGAACGUUGAAGACGACGACGUUGAUAGGCCGGGUGUGUAAGCGCAGCGAUGCGUUGAGCUAACCGGUACUAAUGAACCGUGAGACUUAACCUUACAACGCCGAAGGUGUUU
This 690-nucleotide ribosomal RNA is filed under the name Escherichia coli. Its description in RNAcentral is "partial 23S ribosomal RNA". It matches the Rfam family "Bacterial large subunit ribosomal RNA", at positions 2259 to 2925 of the family's 2925-position model. Lineage: Bacteria; Pseudomonadati; Pseudomonadota; Gammaproteobacteria; Enterobacterales; Enterobacteriaceae. The record is from RNAcentral.